This 1354-nucleotide long non-coding RNA is filed under the name Equus asinus (donkey). RNAcentral's name for it is "lncRNA (ENSEASG00005024127.1)". The record is from RNAcentral. Lineage: Eukaryota; Metazoa; Chordata; Mammalia; Perissodactyla; Equidae.
AUUUUAUGAAAUCAAGUUAAUUACCAUUUUCUUUAUUAUUUAUUUCUAUUAAUUAAUAUUAAUGCAAUCUAUGAGCGCAAUUAAUCACAGGUAAAAAUGCAAGGUCAUUUAAAUAACUCUAAGCUACUACCACUACCAUUGCCAUCACCGCCACUACCGUUUUACCUUGGAGUAUACAGGACAAAGAUUGAGAAUCUGUCUUCAUCCUCCCCCAUCAUCCACACACAAAGCAGGGAUAAGAGCCAGCAGUUUGAUGCCUACCCUUCAAAGUUUUGCAUUUACAUGAAUUUACAAUCCUCUUUCCCCUCACCCUUCUCUUCCUAUCAGUCAUUGAGCUCAGUAGAUGCAACUUUCAAACUGCAUUUUGAACUCUCCAUUUCUUUUUGUUUCCAACCCACGUUUUUGGUCCAGGUCAUCCCUAUCUCUUACAAUAGCUUAGUAAGUUGCGUCCCAACUUCUACUCUAGCAUCCCAACAAUCCACUGUCUUCACAGUGGCCCAUGAGGAUCAUUUAAAAAUGUACUUUCUUUUACAACUAAGUGGUUUUCCAUCACAGUUAGAUUAAAAUCUACAUUUUUAACCAGCUUAUCAUGCCCUCCAGGGGUUGACUGCUGCCUGUUUCUCCAGGCUCCUGCAUUGCCUCUUUUCUGCUUACCAACACUGGUUUUAGUUUUCAGGUUGUUGCAGCUGCUCCCCAACUCAAGCCACAUACUAUUCCCUCUCCUUGGGAUGCUCUUCCCUUCCACUCUCUUUCCCUGGCUAACUCCUACUCAUUCUUCAUGUUAAAUGUAACUUCUUCUGAUUUGUCUUCCCUCAGUUUCCCUAAUCUGAAUAGUGUUUCUCUUUUCAUACUUUUAAUUUUCCAUUGUAAUAUUGAUAUCAAUUGUUAAUAAAUAAUCAUUUGUGCAAUUAUUUACUUAAUAUUUGUCUCCCCCAGGACCAUAAGCUCCAUCAGUGGACAUGGUCUGUCUGAUGCACUUACCAGGAGGGGAAUACUAUCCAGGAUGGAACACCAAGGAAACCUCUGAAUUGCUGAAAAUGUAAAAAGAAUCCUGAUACUUUAAAUGAUGUCUAAAAUGGUUUUGUUAAGUCGAAAAACACCAGCUGAGAUUUUGAUUUGCAACUCAUCUUGGGUUGGGCUCCUCAGGAAAUGGACAUCGAGAUGAAGAUUUGCAGGCAGGUAACGUUUGGAGAGUUGAAAUAGCUUCAGCCAUUGCUGUGAAGUCUCCACAAUUCUUUGAAGAAAGUUACUCUUCAAACCGCAACUGCUGUUCAAUAAAAAGAAAAGAUGCUGUGGUCAUGGUGUUUGUGCAAUAUUUCUGCAGUAUCAACUUUUGAUUCAGGAAGAGGGGGGA